Long non-coding RNA from Olea europaea var. sylvestris, 2776 nucleotides. RefSeq lists it as uncharacterized. The record is from RefSeq and is a predicted model, not a curated record. The transcript is spliced from 2 exons. Lineage: Eukaryota; Viridiplantae; Streptophyta; Magnoliopsida; Lamiales; Oleaceae.
AACUAUAACAUAUAGUCUGGACAUGAAUCUUCCAAGAUUCAGUUAGAAGCCUUUCGAAAAAUAAUAUGUUGCAGUGUUCUUGAGCAUUGCUUCUUCGAAAUCAUUCUCAUAAUAAUCCAUUUGCCCCUUCCAAUUUCACAAAUACAUCCAAUACAUUCUUCAGCAAAAAGCUUGAUCAAUUUUACUCACCUUCUUGCUCUUGAUCGAUCUGAUUUGGAAAAUUAAUUCACUAAACAGAACAGCAAAGAGAAAGCGAAACAGUUGGAGCAAUCACUGAAACAUGCCGGAGAUGUAACUGCAUCCCUUACGUUUCCAUUUAACUCUAUGUAUAGCUGAAAGAGAGUCCAAGCUACAACAAUGUUUGUGAACUUAAAAGGUGACAGGAAAAAAGGGAACUAGUGGAAAAAAUAAGCAAUUGCUUCAAAUUUGAAGGAAUACAAAUAAAAGUUACCCUAUCUCGAAAGCAUAAUAGACCAACUUCUUUAAGAGCUGGAAGUGACGUCCUAGCAAUAAAAUACCUAUCAAGAGAAUGUAAGAACCUCAACAGCCACCAGACCAUGAUUUUAUGGUUUGGCCAUCUUUUCACGAGCUCUCUCAACACGAAUUCAUCGUGUUUCUCUCUCAGUGAAGGAAUUACCUUGAAAAGAAAAAGAGUUACAGAAUCAGUAAAGGUCAAAAAUAAUAAAGUAAAACUGUAAAAGGAUGAAGAGCCAAAAUAUAAGGAAAAAUUUGACCAGAUCUCCGUGGGGAAUUCCAUGCGUUGCUUGGUCAACAUCGCCUUCGAGACGAAAUAGAGUAAAUUCGUACGUAGUGUUCAUUGAACUGAAUUUCACAGUGAUGCUACUGGAUUUUUCAAGUUGCCAAUAUUAAGUCUUCACGGGAAAAUAGUGGAGAAGUUUUAACUUUUAUUUAUAUUUUCCAAAUAGAGCAAAGUGUGUAUAUAAAUAGGGGAAUGGGAGGGUCAUUGCUCUUGAGACACAUGGAAUCGUUUGAUAUGAGAGCAGAAGAAGAUUGGAGGGAUUGCAAGCAUUUAUAUAGCAUUAAGCAAAGCUUUUACACUUAAUUCUCUAUACUUACAUUGCAAAUUGGAGAGAAGGACCUUUGUAGAAUUAAUAUAUGAUAGAUGAUACAACAUAGCAACCUUUUCGUAGAAUUUGUGUUCAAUGAUUAUCAAUCAUUCUUUGUGAGUGGGAUAAUCAGUAUCAAUCAAAAGCUCACCAUUUAGUAGAGUGAAGAGUAAUCAACUUCCAAGAAUGUGGAACGAAAUAAGAUGAUCUAAUAAAUUCUAGGACAGCCACAUAAGAUCAGACACUCUCCCACCCAAUAUUAUUUACCACUGGUGGAUUUUUUUAGUCAAAUUGACCUUGUAGAAGCAAUAUCCGUAAUUGUUCCUUACAAGUUACAACACCGACAACAAUAAGACAAAAAUAUAAGUUACAACAAGCACGGUCACCAUAGAAGACCCAAAGAUUCAUGUGAUAUGAAGAUACUAAAAAAUAAAUGAAUAAAUAAAUAAAACAUGAACAUACAGGUUCAUAAAUACCACUCUGUCUAAGAAAUAAACAGAGAGUCGACCUUACUGUUGAUAUAACAUACUCUUUCAGAUGACUCAGCGAUACUUGUCAUACAACUGCUGAGAGUAAUCAUGGGAACGCUUUCACGUGCACAUGUUAUAAAUUGUCAGAUUAAAGGAAAAUAAGAAUAAAUGAUAUGGUCACGAGUGUCUACAAAUCAAAAGGCUAAACUGGAGACAUAUAAAAAAAAUACGUUUAGAGCAUCAUAUAAUCUUCUGAGCUGAACUGCGGCUCAGGCUGCCCUUCUAAAAUGUUUUUCAGCUUUGUAAUCCCUUUUCACAUAAAGUCCCAUCCUUGUUCUAAAUCAAUUAUAUUCCGCUGAUUCAUGGUCAUUUUCUUUACCAGCCCAAGUUCAAUUGGCAAACAAACCCUAAUCCCUUCUAGAAGAAACUAUAGCCUGCCAAUAACACAUAAAUUGGUAAAUUAAUCAAUAAAAAACAUCAAAACGCUGUAAAUGACUAUAGCCAACCAGAAUUCAACUAAGAAAUAACACCACCCUAAAAUGAAAUCGAAGAACCAAGGGCAUCAUUCAACCACACCAAGUAAUUAUUAUCUUUAGCCAAUCUUUUGCCAAUGCAGACAAGAAAUGGGGCGCAUCACCUGAUCGUUUGUCAACUGAUUCUACUAUGAGUGAUUCUGGAGUAGAAUACUCUUUAAAGUACAAAACUGAUCAAGGAAGAGUUCUUGAGCGUACGACAUCAGCAGAUACUCUUCCGUACCGAUGAAUAGUAACAGAUGGAAUCUGUUUCGUGAAGAUGGUAUUUUUUGGCUUAUUUUUCGGGCCCUGCUACUUGGACAGGGACCUGUCCAAACAGGGGGCGAUGUGGCACCCUCUAUUGGCAUGUUGUCUGUGUUCCCGUUUAAGAAGAAUUACUCUAUUUUUCGUUGAACUUCUAUUUUACGUUGAACUUUUAAGCAGGACUGUAUCUCCGCUGAAGUUAACAACCAUCUAUUCUGGGAAGUUUCCUGAUGUAUAGUAUAAUAGAGGAAUUCCCAGUACUUUUUUCAUAAAUUAGUUAGGAUCCCAUAAUUGCAAGUACUACUUGAUGUCAAAUUUCUGUAUUGCUAUUAUAGCCUUGACUUAGUUCUCCGUUAUCUUCUUCAAAAUUACCAAUUUUAAGUAUCCCAUAAAAAAAAAAAAAAAAAAAAACUACCUCUCUUCUCUUACAAAAGAUACCUUGCACCCGAUUAGCCAUUAAAAA